Molecule: non-coding RNA, 615 nt
Organism: Arachis ipaensis
Lineage: Eukaryota; Viridiplantae; Streptophyta; Magnoliopsida; Fabales; Fabaceae
Source: RefSeq, a predicted model, not a curated record
CAUUUAACUUUGAUGCCUUUUCAUCAUUUCGGACAAAUGUAUCUUUUAACUUCGAUUUAAAUAUUCUAAAUAUUGCUGUAGAAUAUUAACACUUUCUUUUUCUAAAAAAAUAUAUAAUAACAGAGAAAAUAGUUCCCACAAAUAAUGUGGUGUUUGGUGAGUUAGAAGGUUCAACAACAAGUAAUUCUGGUGAAUGGGAUACUCCUUGUGGCUAUUUUUAUCAUCCUAGGGCACGCCGUCGUGUCCGUUCGCCUCCGCCUCUACCUUCGUCGUCUCGGCCACGACGUUCUCGGCCUUGUCCGAAGAAGGCAUGUCCUUCUCCGCCUCCACCUCGGCCUUGGCGUCGAUUCCGUGGUCCGAAUCCGAAUAAAAUUAUUGAAAAAGAUUUUCCAUUUGUACCUGAACCUAGGGCCUUGCCACCUUUGCCCAGACCUCCCUCUUACCCUUAGCUAGGGAACUAUGAAGGACCUUCAGAAUUUGAUGAUUUGAUCAUUGGAUGCAUAUUAGUCUCUAUAUCAAUAUAUUAAUCACGAGCAUAGUAUAGGUUUAAAUGCUCUAUAUAUAGUACCAUUUGUAACAAUUUCAUGCUAUAAUAAUUGCUAAAAGAUUAUUUCA